UGGAAUCGAGCGUUGCUUCACUCCCUUCCAAUUUUAUAUAGAACCUAAAUAUGAAGUUAGGUUCGGAGAGCGUUCGGGCUAGUCACGAACACUCAAGACGCUUUGGUUACUCAGUACUGUUCAAAUGUUUCGAGAGUUGAAAACAACCAUCGCGUGGGUUUUUAGACAAGAAAAAUAGAAAUAUAACGAAAAAGGAUUUCGCUGAAUUGGGAGGCAGGAGACAUUUCGCACAAAGCCUAUUAGGCGAAGGGAGAAAUGACAGUGAAACAUGGUAAGAAUUAGCAGGGCUCGCUAGUGCUGAUUACGACAUUUAACUGAGAAAGUACUCACCAAUCAAAUCAAAUCCCGGAGGUCAAAAGAACAAAAAAGAAGUGAUAAAGCUCUCUUUGCACAAGUCGAGCGAAUGAAGACGGCUUCACGAAGGCUGAGGUUUAAAAGACAGAGGAAAAGUUAGCCAUGACACAAAAGAGAGCGGAGUCAAAACCA
Long non-coding RNA from Nematostella vectensis (starlet sea anemone), 486 nucleotides. RefSeq lists it as uncharacterized. Lineage: Eukaryota; Metazoa; Cnidaria; Anthozoa; Actiniaria; Edwardsiidae. The transcript is spliced from 2 exons. The record is from RefSeq and is a predicted model, not a curated record.